UACGUAUAAGACUAGUGUUAUUCAUCUUUAAUAGGUUUAAAGGGUACCUAGACGGUAUAAUCAGUCUUUAAUAGGAUACGUUUAUACUAGAGUUAAAUUUGAGAAGGGGAGUACUUGAGAUGUAGAGUUAAUAUUUUUUGAUCUCUUAAGGUACAGGUUACGGCGAAAGCAACCUUUUAUCUAAUAACUGACGUUGAGGGACGAAGGCAUUGAGUCACGAACAGGAUUAGAAACCCUUG
RNAcentral lists this ribosomal RNA (239 nucleotides) under uncultured bacterium. RNAcentral's name for it is "partial 16S ribosomal RNA". It matches the Rfam family "Bacterial small subunit ribosomal RNA", at positions 524 to 790 of the family's 1533-position model. The record is from RNAcentral.